RNAcentral lists this non-coding RNA (45 nucleotides) under Schistosoma mattheei. The record is from RNAcentral. Lineage: Eukaryota; Metazoa; Platyhelminthes; Trematoda; Strigeidida; Schistosomatidae.
AUCCAGCUGAUGAGUCCUAAAUAGGACUAAACACGCGUUCUGCAA